This 45-nucleotide non-coding RNA is filed under the name Schistosoma bovis. The record is from RNAcentral. RNAcentral also lists the same sequence under 1 other name. Lineage: Eukaryota; Metazoa; Platyhelminthes; Trematoda; Strigeidida; Schistosomatidae.
UUUCAACUGGAGAGUCCCAAAUAGGACGAAAUGUGCGUCUUCAAU